CCUACGGGUGGCAGCAGUGGGGAAUAUUGGGCAAUGGAGGCAACUCUGACCCAGCAACGCCGCGUGAAUGAUGAAGGUCUUCUGAUUGUAAAGUUCUGUGAUGGGGGAUGUACACAAUGACGGUACCCCAAUAGCAAGCCACGGCUAACUACGUGCCAGCAGCCGCGGUAAUACGGCGGUGGCAAGCGUUAUCCGGACUGACUGGGUGUAAGGGGUGAGUAGGUGGUUUAGUAAGUUAGCGGUGUAAUUUCGGGGCUCAACCGUGGCGUUACCGUCAAAACUAGUAGUCUAGAGUGCAGGAGAGGUAAGUGGAAUUCGUGGUGUAGCGGUGGAAUGCGUAGAUAUUAGGAGGAACAUCAGGUGCGAAGGCGACUUACUGGACUGUAACUGACACUGAGGCACGAAAGCGUGGGGAGCAAACAGGAUUAGAUACCCGAGUAGUC
RNAcentral lists this ribosomal RNA (443 nucleotides) under uncultured bacterium. RNAcentral describes it as "partial 16S ribosomal RNA". It matches the Rfam family "Bacterial small subunit ribosomal RNA", at positions 338 to 795 of the family's 1533-position model. The record is from RNAcentral.